AGCCUAAUGAAUAUCUAUAUUAGGUAAGNUCUGCCCAGUGAAUUUUUAACGGCCGCGGUAUCCUGACCGUGCAAAGGUAGCACAAUCACUUACCUCUUAAUUGGGGGCUAGAAUGAACGAGUAAACGAAAAUCAAUCUGUCUCUUAAAUAUAAAUAAAAACUAGCCCACAGGUGAAAAGACCUGUUUUAUUCUAAAAGACAAAAAGACCCUGUCGAGCUUUAAUAUAAAAAUACACUUUUAAAUAUUUUGGUUGGGGCGACAAAGGAAUACAUAAAACUUCCUUAAAAAAAAGAAAUCUAAUCAAUUUAAUGAUCCUUAAAAUGAGCAUAGAGAUAGCUACCGCAGGGAUAACAGACUAAUUUUUCCAAAGAGCCCAAAUCAAAGGAAAAGUUUGGCACCUCGAUGUUGGCUUAGGAAUUCUUCUUGGCGCAAAAGCCAAAAAAGAGGGUGUGUUCACCCCUUAAUAU
This 468-nucleotide ribosomal RNA is filed under the name Nothria sp. NB-2014. Its description in RNAcentral is "partial 16S ribosomal RNA". It matches the Rfam family "Bacterial large subunit ribosomal RNA", at positions 1829 to 2594 of the family's 2925-position model. Lineage: Eukaryota; Metazoa; Annelida; Polychaeta; Eunicida; Onuphidae. The record is from RNAcentral.